This is a long non-coding RNA of Lemur catta (Ring-tailed lemur), 738 nucleotides long. RefSeq lists it as uncharacterized. The record is from RefSeq and is a predicted model, not a curated record. The transcript is spliced from 2 exons. Lineage: Eukaryota; Metazoa; Chordata; Mammalia; Primates; Lemuridae.
AGAGGCUUGCAAGCUGACUCCUUGCGGUGAAACGCGACUUGGAGGGGACGCAGCAGCCGCGACGUUCAUCUCGGGCGGACUCCGGGUGGCGACUUCGGGCUGGCGGCUGGGACGGCGCGGCGUGGCGGGGUGUCGCCGAGAGGAAGCCCGCCACGCGCGGGGGAGGGCCGGCCCUGGCCCCCAGCGAACGCCGCUGCGUCGGGGAGCCGCGGGUCGCGUGGUCGGUGGCAGGCGCGCUCGGAUCUCAUCUUUUUUGCAAAAAUGGAGUCAUUCUGAAUGUAUUAAUUUACAACUUGGAAUCACACUGUUUUGUGACUUAAUUUUUCUCCUCCAAACCAAGAUGCUGUGAACAUCUUUUCAAUCAAUAAAUAUUCUAUGUAAUAUCUUAGUGGUUAUGUAGUAUUUCAUUGAGAGUUUAACCAAAAUGUAUUUAAUCAAUCCUUUAUUGUUACUCAUGUAAGUUGUUUUUUUUUUUGCUAUUGUAAGUAAUGCUAAAAUGGAUAUCUUUGUGUAUAUGUCUUUUUUCUUUCCUUUAAAUUCCUAGAAAUGAAAUUACUUCAUCAAAGGGAUUGUACAGAUGUUUGGUAAACCCAUUCCUGGAUUGCCUUCUAGAAAGAUUGUACUAAUUUAUACACCAGCAUUGUGCCGGAAUGGUUGGUUGCCCACGUCCAGAUAACUCUUGGUAUUUUCAUUGUUUUUCAUUUUUACCAGUCUGUUCAAUAAAUUCUGUCAUUCUUA